This 4355-nucleotide long non-coding RNA is filed under the name Papio anubis (olive baboon). RNAcentral describes it as "lncRNA (ENSPANG00000043427.1)". Lineage: Eukaryota; Metazoa; Chordata; Mammalia; Primates; Cercopithecidae. The record is from RNAcentral.
AUCUGCAGAGUUGAAAUGAAAUGUUUUGAGCUCUUCAAGCUGACUCGUCAGAAUCCUGGAGCCUUUUAAAAAAUGACGAAUUGGAAGAAAAAAAUUACUUUAUCAAUAACCAGGCUCCACCAGGAUUGACCAAGAUGUUUAUUCCUGGCACUUGUCAUUCUCAGCAAGCACAGAACAGAGAGCAAAUACAAAAGGCCCAAAGUGCAUUGCAUCUUUUAUGGGAAAACAUUUCCUCCAGAAACUUACAAGAAAGGAAUCAUGGGCAUUACAUUUUUGAGAUUCUACAAUUAUCAGAAACAUUAUUGAACAUGGUAUUUGACUGAAGAUGGAAUUCUAGCUUAGAAAUUAGUAUUUUGCCAAAUGUUGAAGUUGUUUCUUCUAACUUCCAGUGUUUCUCUCGAAAAAUGUUAUGAUGUUCUGAUUCUAAAUGCAGAUCUGUCUAAUGUGAACUGUUGUGCUUGUUAAUCUUUCCAGAAGAUUUUGUUAUUAUCUCUUUAUCUUUGGUAUUCCACAAUUUCAAAACAGUAUAUCCUGUGUGCCACUCCCCAUAAAAACACAAACAAAAAAAAUACAUUUCACUGGGUUGAGUACUCAGCAGGCCUUUGUACAUUCUGAAAGAUAAAUAUCUUUCAAUCUUCAAAAAUAUUUUGAUAUUUCUUUGAUGAUUUUAUUCUUUUCCUUUAUAUUUUUUGAUUUUUUUCCUUAAAAUUUAAAUCAAUGCUCGAAUUGUAUUACCUUUUAUUGUCUAUUUUCCAUAUCUUUGUGAUUUUUCUGCUUUCUAAAAUGUAUUCUUAACUGGACCGUCCAACCCUUCUGUGGAUAUUUUUAUGUCUGUUGUUACAUUCAGUAAUUUCUAAGAGUUAUUUCUUUUACUCUGAGUUUACUUUUUAAAUAAUCUCAUUGUGCUUUUAUGGAUACAUUAUCUUCUGUUAUGUCUCUGAAAUAAUUAAUAUUUUCUUUUGAAUUAUUAUCCUUCUAUGUUUCUUCUUUUUCAUCCAAGAUCUUAUUUUCUAUUUAUUGAUUUUGUUCACUUUUCAUUUAGAGGAUUGGUUUAUAUGUGGUACUCAUUGACCAUCCAUUCAGUUUUGAAUGCUGAACAAAAAUGUUGAUUUACUGCUCAGAAUAAAAGUUGAUUGGAUGCUUAGUGUGCAUGAGUCAGCUUGCAAAUGGCUGGUAUACCUCACAUAAAGGAGAGUCACUUAAUUGAGUAUUUUUAAGUAUAAAUGUUUAGGAUCCAUUUAUCCUGGUCUGAUGUUCGUAGAGAAGAAUUUUCUAAUCUCCUGAAGGUGAGUGUAUGAAAUUGGCUGGGGAGUUCCAUUUUUGAUAAUGCAGACAUUCAUAUUAAGCCCGUUGUUUUUAUUUGUCUCCUGUAUUUCCCUCCACUCCUAUCAGCUAUGUCUGGUGAUCCAAAGAUAAAACCCUCUUUUGCUUAACAUCUCCAUAAAGUUCAUGUGUGUUGAGGAGAGAGGGGUACUUUAAGGAUUGGUAGGAAAGUUAAAAGUAUUUUUAGAGAAGUAAUCUUUCCUGUCAUUCAACAAACCUCAUUAUUUUCAGUCUCAUCCCACAAGCUUUAGUAGUUCUUUACAAGUCACUAGUAUUUCCCAUUUCUGAGUAAUUCAGUGUCUACAAGGAGGGGCUUGGCUUGCUUCCUUUGGUUUUUCCCUUGAGGGAGCUUUGGCAUUGGCCUUCUUUACUAUACUGUAUCCGUUACCAUUUAUCCAUCUAUUUUUCUUUUACCAAAAAAUGUUUAACAUCUCUCAUCUGCUGUAGUUUCUUCUCCCUUUCUUGUGUUUGUGUGACUGUUUUGCAUUCAUUCACUUGUCACAUGAAUGAAAUUGAGAAAAAACAUGCUCAAGCAGAACUCACUGCAUCUUCAAUUUUGUAAAACUAUUCUGUAAUUCAAUAAUUUUUAAAUUUUAUUUUAGUGACUUCACAUUAAUGACACUUUGCAUUAGCUGAGAUAGCAAAAUGUUCUUGUGAGGAAAUGGUUACUUGUUAGCUAUGGAAUUCAAAUCUUGGCUGCCCACCACUGGGAUAAAGUUGAUUUGAAAAUGAAUAUAUCUAUAUACUGAUUGAAUUCUUCAGUCAGUAAAGAUAUACUCCUACAAUAUACCAGAGUGUUUAAUUGAUUUUCUCUAGUACUCAAUUCCAAAUACAAAAAAACAGUGUUAAUGAAUGAGACAGCCUAUCAGUAGUAUUGCAAUGUAUGGUUAGCUUAUUCCUAGAAUAAUUGCUACUGUUAUUGUCCAUGAGUUUUAGACAUCACUAUUGAUGAUUGCUACUAAAAUAUUAAUAAAAUUGACCAAUAUCAUAAAAUGUCUUACCCAAAUAUAUAAGACUCAGUGAACAUAUUGAUAUGUACUAUUAAAUUGCUGUAACUGAUGAAGAUAUAAAAAGAAUAUACUAUUGAAAAGGGAGUAAAUUCAAGGAAGAAACGAAUUAAAAAGUUAUUUAGUGAUAGUAUUUUUGACUAUUUUCUAUUACAAAGGAAAGAUCAAACAUUGUUUAAUGUUUUUGAAUUAGUGGCUAGAUACUGGCAUUGAUAAUUGAGAUAUGAAAUAUAGGAAAGAUAGAAGUUUGGGUGAGAAAUGUUGGAUUUGGUUUCAGGCAAGUUAAGCUUGAGGUUAUUUUAAAAUAUUAAACAGCAGCCUGUAAUACAGUACUGCAGCUCAUCAGAGAUGUCUAGGUCAAAUAUGUAGAAUUGAUCAGAUUAGCUUAGCUACCCAGAAUAGAAAUAUUCCCAUAUCACAAGUGUUUAAGCAAAAUAACAGUUUAUUUCACUCUAGUAGAAAAAGGCUAUGGAAGGCAACUUAGGCUAAUUUGAGCUCAACAAAGUUAUCCAGGCUUUUUCCAGAUGUCUACUCUGCCAUCCCAAGGGCUGGCCCUCGUCCUAUUAGGUCCAAAAUUUUGCAUGUAAAUGCUUCAUCACAAUGGUGUCUCCAAUAGCUAAAUGGAGUAAAGGAAGAGGACAUCACCCUUCUGUUUUAAAGACACUUAGUCAACCUCCAUCACCAUUCUGUUUACAUCUCUUUGGCCAGAAUUUAUCUGUAUCUCAUGAAACUACAAAGAAAUCCUGGGAAUAGAGUCUUUUAAUCUGUAUGGUAACCCAGCAGGCUAAAAACCAGCUUUCUGUAUUUAAGUAAAAAUAAGAGAAUAGAGGAAGGAGUAUGUACCUGACAGUUUUGAUUUAAGUUACUGGCACAUAGAUUGCAUUUUGAAAUGUAGAUGUAGAUGUAUAUGAACCAGAAAAAGUAUGUUAAAAAUCUUAUUUUAAAAUCAGAUUUUUGCAGGUUGAGCAAUGAAUGCAGAUGAAGAACUAAAGAGAAGUAGAGACAAAUCCUUCAAGGAACUUGAAUGAAAAAUGAGAGACAGGACAAUAUCUCAGAAAUUUAGGUUUGUGAGAGAGUAAAAGUGAAAUCAGAAGGAGACCAGUCAAAAAUGAGGAACAUGAUGAGCCUGAUGACCAAGUUGAAUUUUUAAAUGAUGCUAUAUAAUGAUUUUCUACUUAAUGAAUGUAUGUGCACUAAUCCUUUACUUUAGGUAUUAUCAUCUUUUUUUACAUAAGUGCAAAAAUGUAGGCCUGAAAGGUUAAAUAACUUAAAUUGAGACACAGAGCUGUGAAUUUAACCAAUGCCCCAAUCUCAACUCAUAAUCUCAAUCUGUCCCACUACCUCUUCUUAAUUAGGAGGGAUCUUAACUCUUAGGCAUAAUUAAUUUACAUUUUUUUUUUUUAAAUUAGGAAGUUAAAAAGCUCAGUGAAGGUGAGAUGGUGUUAGUCAGAAUGAACAAUAUAAGUAUGCUUUCAGUGGGAAAAAACUUUUUAAUGGUGAUAAAUUUCAAAACAAUUUAUCUAGGAUCAGGUGCUGAAGGUGCACAUUCUAAUUAUGUUUCCAAAGUGGAAGCUGAUCGCUAUAUAUUUUUUUCAGUGACAGAAUUUUUUUUUUGUAUUUAAAUACAUAACUUUCCUCCAAAUAACCCCCAAAUAAUAAACCAGAUUAAAUAAAAUUCACAGUGAAUAUGCCCAACCAACAUCUGUAUGUGCAACUAAACACUGUGUCUAUUACUGCGGUGUGAACCUUAAACAAUAUAAAAGUGUUCUGGGGAGUCGAAGAAGCCCAAGUUUUAACUCUGUGGUAUUUGGGGAGAGAAGACGCAGGAAGUAAGAGAAAGGGGAAAUAAAUUUUCUAUUUCUUAAUUUUGUCCUUCCAAUAUAUUCAUAAAGACUAAAAGAGAAAAGGAAGCUUGGGAUUGUAAAUAAAUAGAGGAAUACAGGAGUGUGGGACCCUUGCAAUGCUACCUGACCAAAACAUAUGAAAGAAAUUAAUUCCUUUCAGAUUGAAAAGUUGGGAGAAGAG